Long non-coding RNA from Uranotaenia lowii, 418 nucleotides. RefSeq lists it as uncharacterized. The record is from RefSeq and is a predicted model, not a curated record. NCBI's taxonomy places the organism in Eukaryota, Metazoa, Arthropoda, Insecta, Diptera, Culicidae. The transcript has 3 exons.
UAUAAAAAAGUUGAUGGAGGAUUGCGAGGCUCACAAAUAUUUGUUUUUCUGAAAAAUUUAGCUCAAAGACACCGGCGUGAAUGAAAAAAAAAAUAGAUUUGAAACCAUCCGGGAAGUAACUGUUACGGAUGGAAAACACACACUGGCUGUUUCUUCCUAAGGAUUGGGAACCUCGAACUGGCUCAAAUCUUACUGCUACGGUGCCUUGGCGAUUUUGCUUCGUUUUCGAUGAAAAAUUCCCAGUAAGGGAUGGAAGUUCAUACUGUUAUCAAAAAUUCAAGUGCAAUAUAUUGACAGGAUUUUCAUAGUUCCAGCUCAGGUUCUGCUGGAUUUGUGUGACACGGAAGCCUUUCUUCUAAAAGGUUUAGUGAACCCGCUCAGAGAGUAUCAGGACAACCCAUAAAGGGCAGUUCUCUCU